This 387-nucleotide ribosomal RNA is filed under the name uncultured bacterium. RNAcentral's name for it is "bacterial SSU rRNA". It matches the Rfam family "Bacterial small subunit ribosomal RNA", at positions 505 to 893 of the family's 1533-position model. The record is from RNAcentral.
GUGUCAGCCGCCGCGGUAAUACGUAGGGUGCAAGCGUUAAUCGGAAUUACUGGGCGUAAAGCGUGCGCAGGCGGUUUCGUAAGUCUGUCGUGAAAUCCCCGGGCUUAACCUGGGAAUGGCGAUGGAGACUGCGAGGCUAGAGUUUGGCAGAGGGGGGUAGAAUUCCACGUGUAGCAGUGAAAUGCGUAGAGAUGUGGAGGAACACCGAUGGCGAAGGCAGCCCCCUGGGUCAAAACUGACGCUCAUGCACGAAAGCGUGGGGAGCAAACAGGAUUAGAUACCCUGGUAGUCCACGCCCUAAACGAUGUCUACUAGUUGUUGGGUCUUAAUUGACUUAGUAACGCAGCUAACGCGUGAAGUAGACCGCCUGGGGAUACGGUCGCAAGA